CAAAAAUCCGUGCGGCUUAGCUGAGGCGUGAUGACGAGGAACUUCGGUUCUGAAGUUGCUGAUACCCUGCUUCCAGGAAAAGCCUCUAAGCUUCAGUCUGUGAUUGACCGUACCGCAAACCGACACAGGUGGGCAGGAUGAAAAUUCUAAGGCGCUUGAGAGAACUCAGGAGAAGGAACUCGGCAAAUUGAUACCGUAACUUCGGGAGAAGGUAUGCCUCGGUAGCGUGUAGUCCCUCGCGGGCGAAGCGUGAUGAGGUCGCAGAGAAUCGGUGGCUGCAACUGUUUAAUAAAAACACAGCACUCUGCAAAGGCGAAAGCCGACGUAUAGGGUGUGACGCCUGCCCGGUGCCGGAAGGUUAAGUGAUGGGGUGCAAGCUCUUGAUCGAAGCCCCGGUAAACGGCGGCCGUAACAAUAACGGUCCUAAGGUAGCGAAAUUCCUUGUCGGGUAGUUCCGACCUGCACGAAUGGCGUAAUGAUGGCCACACUGUCUCCUCCUGAGACUCAGCGAAGUUGAAAUGUUUGUGAAGAUGCAAUCUACCCGCGGCUAGACGGAAAGACCCCAUGAACCUUUACUGUAGCUUUGCAUUGGACUUUGACGGGACUUGUGUAGGAUAGGUGGGAGGCUGUGAGGCGUGGUCGCCAGAUCGCGCGGAGCCAACCUUGAAAUACCACCCUGGUGUCGUUGAGGUUCUAACCUUGGUCCGUGAAUCCGGAUCGGGGACCGUGCAUGGCAGGCAGUUUGACUGGGGCGGUCUCCUCCCAAAGAGUAACGGAGGAGUACGAAGGUCUUCUAAGCACGGUCGGACAUCGUGCUCAUAGUGCAAUGGCAAAAGAAGGCUUGACUGCGAGACCCACAAGUCGAGCAGGUGCGAAAGCAGGUCAUAGUGAUCCGGUGGUUCUGUAUGGAAGGGCCAUCGCUCAACGGAUAAAAGGUACUCUGGGGAUAACAGGCUGAUUCCGCCCAAGAGUUCAUAUCGACGGCGGAGUUUGGCACCUCGAUGUCGGCUCAUCACAUCCUGGGGCUGUAGCCGGUCCCAAGGGUAUGGCUGUUCGCCAUUUAAAGUGGUACGUGAGCUGGGUUUAAAACGUCGUGAGACAGUUUGGUCCCUAUCUGCCGUGGGCGCUGGAAAUUUGAGGGGGCCUGCUCCUAGUACGAGAGGACCGGAGUGGACGGAUCUCUGGUGUACCGGUUAUGACGCCAGUCGUAUCGCCGGGUAGCUAAAUCCGGAAGAGAUAAACGCUGAAAGCAUCUAAGCGUGAAACUCGCCUCAAGAUGAGAUUUCCCGGGGGUUCAACCCCCCUGAAGGGUCGUCCAAGACCAGGACGUUGGUAGGUCAGGUGUGGAAGCGCAGCGAUGCGUUAAGCUAACUGAUACUAAU
RNAcentral lists this ribosomal RNA (1382 nucleotides) under metagenome. RNAcentral describes it as "bacterial LSU rRNA". It matches the Rfam family "Bacterial large subunit ribosomal RNA", at positions 1536 to 2905 of the family's 2925-position model. The record is from RNAcentral.